CGCUACCGAAACCGCAUACUAGUAGAAGCUCAUCCAAAGCCAACGUUGUGCCGCCGCGGUCAUGGCAGCGAAGUUCUUUAUUCUCCGGCAGCGAGCGGCCUAUCCUCUUUCGAUGUCGGAAGCCGGUUUUGUCUUCCUGGGUGAUUUGACGCGGUCGCGGUACACCUGCAUCCAAGUUCGCUCUGCUUCGAUUGUGUGGAACACGGCAUACAAUACGUCACCACGUCGCGAAUAGAAGGGGACAGGAAGUUUUCGUAUUACACGGGCUCUUCCACUGGCACAACGCGCGACGCUUCGCAGGCAAUCGCUACACUGACAUUGUUUGUGCCAAUUUGUUCUUGAUUUUGUGAUUGUUGUUUGCUGAGAGGGCCCUGCGUCACGGGUGCGUACAUGGGUACUGCCACCAUACUAGCAACGAUGCAGGUUGAGAACGCCCUCAUGUGGAAGCGCCCCAGAGAAAAGAGCCUCCUGAAGUGCCAACAGUGCAACUACACCACCUGCCAACGAGGCCACAUGAACCGGCACAUGGUGGUGCACACGGGCAAGCGCCCCUUCGGGUGUCACCUGUGCCCCAUGGCGUUCAGCCGCCGAGCCAGCCUGGCCGAUCACGUGCAAACGCACAGCCGCAGCAAGAAGUUCCAGUGCCGCUAUUGCCCCGUCACGUUCACCGACCGGUCUGCACUCUGGCGGCACUUCACUGUAAUGCACUUCACGCCGUAGAAUUGUGUCGGCACGUUUUGCUGCAAAGCACACGGCUCUGAGUCCUUGCUGCCGCGGUGACAUUCCAAUGGGUGUGAAGUGCAAGCAUGCUUGUGUACUUGGAUUACGGCACAUGUUAAAGAACAAGAAGCAGAAAAGAAAGCAUGUGUUGCAUUUGAAUUUAAAUUGUGCCAGUAUGUGAAAGCAGCAAUACAUGGGAUCUCCCAUGGAGUAAGGACAGAAGUCAACAAGCCAAGCAUUCAGUUGGCUCUAGAUGUGCCACAUGGAAUGUGUCAGCGAGCUAUACGCCCGUACAUAUACACCGUAUGUAUGUAUACACCGUAUACCGUAUGUAGCAUAAAUGUACCGGGUAUUUCUUCUUCUUUUUUUACACCAUACAGAAUUUUUACAAAUUUCUGGCGGCAGAUAGCAUAAUUCUGGUCAUUGAGCUAGAUUACUUGAAGCAGCAGACAUUACUGGCUGGAGAUAUAGAAUUGCAUGAUCAAUUCUCAAAAACGUACUCGUGAGCUUUUUAAUUAUUUAUUUUACGGCAUGUAUUACAAAUUACAAGUUGCAGCCUGUGAGUUCGCAAGGUGUAUUCACUUGAAAGGAAUUCCCUGUGUCUGCAAGGAAAUGCAUGAGCAUUCUAAAUACCUUUAUGCUUCAAUGCAUAAAGUGGCAGUUUGUUGAAAAAGUAAGUGGGGCAAUAGUGCACCUUUACAAAAAGUUGGCGGUGCAUAUCUCCAAACCAGUGCCAUCCAUUGAAUUCGCUCCAAGUUCAUGUACCUGAUAAACUCAGCGGCUACCAUUCCUAAAUUGCAAUAGGUGCCUUAUCCUCCUCAGGCCUGCUCAGGGGCAUAAUUGCUUCGCAAGCUGGUUCUUAUUGCUGACUGGCAAACUAGCAACAUGAAAAACUAAUUUUUUUGUUCAAGUACCCUGGUUAGAUGCUCAGAACAGCGUCCCUGUGUGAAUGGACGAGGUAAUUAUGUCCUCGUGGUUCUUGUUGUAAAAACUGUUUUCUUUGGCCAAUACACUGAGAUGAAGCUCUAACACUGCGUAGUAUGUUGGCAUGCUUGUGCAACAUCCUCUAUUUUCGUGUCAACUGGCCAUAAUUGAAAAGCACUUCCUGGCUGCUUUUUGUCAUCUGUGACAACACACCGGCCUAGACUAAAUUGGUGGGAACUAUAAAAAGCUCACAGCAGUAUUGCACCUGAACCAUUUUCACACAGUUUUGCAUACCUCACCUUUUAUAUUGAGGAGAAAUGUUACAGCGAAGCUGUUAGCCUGUAGUUGGUCAAGAUUUUUCAUGGCCUUGUGUGUGUUGCUCACAAACACAAAAAAUGUCAUGUUUGGCCUGAUGACAUCAUCAGAUUACGAAAUCAGGCAAUGUUGUCACAUGACGAUGCUGUUUUCUUGUAUAUUCGAAUUGCAGUCCAAAGCUCUCAUGUCUGCAGCUCAUGUGCAAGUCGUGCUUUAUGAAUUUUCUAGUGCAAUUUACUUUGAGAAAUCCAAUUAGUUCAAUAAUACACUUGCACUUGAUGGAGGGCCUGGACGAAUGAGCAUGUAUGCUGCACUAUCACACACGUGCAUGCAUGACGUAUGUCGCUUGUGAUGGUGGUUCUUGUCUAACAUCUGUCAUGCAUGUCUAACAUCUGCAACAGGCUCACUGUACAUUCACUUUUACAGGGUGGAAUGGAGGCGUUUUUUUUUUACACAAUCGCUGCUGAGGCUAAUCUAAAGGAAGAAGAAAAGCAACAUGCCCAAAUGGGUAUGGGACUGGAGAGGUUGAAGCAAUUAAAAAAGUUAAUUAGUAAUUUUUUGGUACGUAGUCGAUUGUGCAUUUCGAUUUCUCGUGUGAAUACUGUCCGCCGCUUCGAGCAAUCCAGCUUACAGAUUACAUUACGAUAUCUGCACCACAAACUUUUUUAAAGUUCUGUAUGGUCUAAUGAAAACAUACUGUUUGUGCAUAUAUCCAUAGGAUACGCAUGCGGCAAAAGCAUUAAACUGCUUGCUGCAGAACAGUUGUUUGAUUCAUAACAACCAUCCUUAACGAAAUCAAGCAUGCCUUGCAUUACCUAGAUGUGAAGUGAAGUUAAUACUGCUCUUAUUUUAAGCAUAUGGCAAAACUAGACUGGAUCUCAAUUGGUGACUGAAUGUUAGGCGAAUGUGUUUCUGCCGAUCAUCGGUGAUAUAGUCACUGCCUGCUCUACGUGUCACUCAUUAUUAUAUUCAACAUGGUGGUGUGAAAGCUUUUGUAGAUAGCAAGCGCUUAGCAGCCUUUUAUUGAGAAGCAUUGCAUUUUAUCAUUCUCUUGUGACUGCUUUAUUUACAAAAGCUGACAAUAUUAAUCCAGCCAUAUAUCUUUGAUCACUUGCAUUGUGCGUCCUUCAAACGUUCCUUUUAUUUGUCAAAGGGAAGCAGAGUGUUUCUUUACAUGUUGUAGCACCCCUUCAGUAUAGCAGAAGAAACACGAUUUUAAUUCUGCAUCCUUAAAAUGUACACAUCUGUUCCAUUAAAUUGUGAUUAAGAUCAUUGCAGCUAAGCAUCCUAACAUGCAGCUCUGUGCUGGUGACAAAUAGCUGCAAUCCGGUGGUCUUGUUUAGUUGGACCAACAGUAAACAUUGUACAUAUUUAGAGGGAGUGUGUGCGUUCUCUCACCUUAUUUUCUGUGGCAACAAACCAGGCAAUAAAGUGGACAUGCAUAAUUUGUUCAA
Dermacentor albipictus is the source of this 3413-nucleotide long non-coding RNA. RefSeq lists it as uncharacterized. The record is from RefSeq and is a predicted model, not a curated record. Lineage: Eukaryota; Metazoa; Arthropoda; Arachnida; Ixodida; Ixodidae.